This 274-nucleotide ribosomal RNA is filed under the name uncultured bacterium. RNAcentral describes it as "partial 16S ribosomal RNA". It matches the Rfam family "Bacterial small subunit ribosomal RNA", at positions 523 to 796 of the family's 1533-position model. The record is from RNAcentral.
AUACGAAAGGUGCAAGCGUUGUUCGGAUUUACUGGGCGUAAAGAGAUCGUAGGUGGUUUGUUAAGUCGGAUGUGAAAUCCCGGGGCUCAACCCCGGAACUGCAUUCGAUACUGGCAGACUAGAGUUUGGGAGGGGUAAGCGGAAUUCCGUGUGUAGCAGUGAAAUGCGUAGAUAUACGGAGGAACACCUGAGGCGAAGGCGGCUUACUGGACCAAUACUGACACUGAGGAUCGAAAGCGUGGGUAGCAAACAGGAUUAGAUACCCCAGUAGUCC